RNAcentral lists this ribosomal RNA (2830 nucleotides) under Enterococcus faecium. RNAcentral describes it as "23S ribosomal RNA". It matches the Rfam family "Bacterial large subunit ribosomal RNA". The record is from RNAcentral. Lineage: Bacteria; Bacillati; Bacillota; Bacilli; Lactobacillales; Enterococcaceae.
GAUAAGGUUAUGAAUAAGGGCGCACGGUGGAUGCCUUGGCACUAGGAGCCGAUGAAGGACGGACUAACACCGAUAUGCUUUGGGGAGCUGUACGUAAGCUUGCGAUCCAGAGAUUUGAAUGGGGAACCCAACAUCUUUAAUAGGAUGUUACGAUUGUGUGAAUACAUAGCACAUCUGAGGUAGACGCAGAGAACUGAAACAUCUAAGUACCUGCAGGAAGAGAAAGAAAAUCUGAUUCCUGAGUAGCGGCGAGCGAAACGGAAAAGCCCAAACCAGCAAGCUUUGCUUGUUGGGGCUGUAGGACUCAACAUGGUAGUUCUUUCAGAUAGUCGAAUGACUUGGAAAAGUCAGUCAAAGAGGGUAAAACCCUGCAGACGAAAAUGUGGAAGACACCUAGGAGGAUCCUGAGUACGGCGGAACACGAGAAAUCCGUCGGAAUCCGGGAGGACCAUCUCCUGGCCAAAUACUCCCUAGUGACCGAUAGUGAACCAGUACCGUGAGGGAAAGGUGAAAAGCACCCCGGAAGGGAGGAAUAGAACCUGAAACCGUGCGCCUACAAAAGUCAAAGCCCGUUAAUGGGUGAUGGCGUGCCUUUGUAGAAUGAACUGGCGAGUUACGAUUGCAUGCGAGGUUGUUGAAGAGACGGAGCCGCAGCGAAAGCGAGUCUGAAUAGGGCGUUUGAGUAUGUAGUCGUAGACCUGAAACCAUGGAUCUACCCAUGUCCAGGUUGAAGGUGCGGUAAAACGCACUGGAGGACUGAACCCACGUACGCUGAAAAGUGCGGGAUGAGGUGGGUAGCGGAGAAAUCCAAACGAACUUGAGAUAGCUGGUUCUUCCGAAAUAGCUUUAGGGCUAGCCCCGGAAUUGAGAAUGAUGGAGGUAGAGCACUGUUUGACUAGGGGCCCAUCCUGGCUACUGAAUCAGAUAAACCUGAAUGCCAUUCAUUCAUAUCCGGGAGCCGACUGUGAGUGAUAAGAUCCAUAGUCGAAAGGGAAACAGCCCAGACCACCAGCCAAGGUCCCAAAAUAUAUGUUAAGUGGAAAAGGAUGUGGGCUGCACAGAUAACCAGGAUGUUGGCUUGAAGCAGCCACCAUUUAAAGAGUGCGUAAUAGCUCACUAGUCGAGUGACCCUGCGCCGAAAAUGUACCGGGGCUAAACAUAUUACCGAAGCUGUGGAGUACACCUUUAGGUGUAUUGGUAGGAGAGCGUCUAUGGGCGAAGGCAGAUCGUGAGGACUGCUGGAGCGCCGAAGUGAGAAUGCUGGUAUGAGAAGCGAAAGACAGGUGAGAAUCCUGUCCACCGAAUGACUAAGGCUCUGGGAAGGCCUGUCCGCCCAGGGUUAGUCGGGACCUGCCGAGGCCGACAGGCGUAGGCGAUGGAUAACAGGCUGAUAUUCCUGUACCUGCUGUUUUGUUUGAGCAAUGGAGGGACGCAGGAGGCUGGGAAUGCAGACGAUCGGAAAUGUCUGUCCAAGCAGUAAGUCCAAGAGGAGCCAAAUGCUUUCUUGGGACAAGCCGUGAUGGGGAGGGAAAUAAUAGUACCGAAGUUCCUGAUGUCACACUGCCGAGAAAAGCUCUAGUGAGAAAACAGCGGCCCGUACCGCAAACCGACACAGGUAGUCGAGGAGAGAAUCCUAAGGUGAGCGAGAGAACUCUCGUUAAGGAACCGGCAAAAUGACCCUGCAACUCGGGAGAAGGUGCUGAUCAUACGAUCAGCCGCAGUGAAUAGGCCCGCUGACUGUUUAUCAAAACACAGGUCUCUGCAAAAUCGUAAGAUGAAGUAUAGGGCUGAUGCCCGGUGCUGAAGGUUAAGAGGAGGGCUUAGCGCAAGCGAAGGUACGAAUUGAAGCCCCAGUAAACGGCGGCCGUAACUAUAACGGUCCUAAGGUAGCGAAAUUCCUUGUCGGUAAGUUCCGACCCGCAAUGAAAGGCGUAAUGAUUUGGGCACUGUCUCAACGAGAGACUCGGGUGAAAUUUUAGUACCUGUGAAGAUGCAGGUUACCCGCGACAGGACGGAAAAGACCCUAUGGAGCUUUACUGUAGUUUGAUAUUGAGGUCUGUACCGCAUGUACAGGAUAGGUAGGAGCCGUAGAAAUCGGAACGCUAGUUCUGAUGGAGGCGCUGGUGGAUACUACCCUGCUAUGGGCUUACUCUAACCUGCACCCACUAAUCGUGGUGGAGACAGGCCGAUGGGCAGUUUGAUGGGGCGGCUCCUAAAAGGUAACGGAGGCGCCCAAAGGUUCCCCAGAAUGGCUGGAAAUCAUCUGAAGAGUGUAAAGGCAGAAGGGAGCUUGACUGCGAGACCAACAAGUCGAGCAGGGACGAAAGUCGGGCUUAGUGAUCCGGUGGUUCCGCAUGGAAGGGCCAUCGCUCAACGGAUAAAAGCUACCCUGGGGAUAACAGGCUUAUCUCCCCCAAGAGUCCACAUCGACGGGGAGGUUUGCACCCUGAUGUCGGCCUGUCGCAUCCUGGGCCUGUAGUCGGUCCUAAGGCUGGGCUGUUCGCCCAUUAAAGCGGCACGCGAGCUGGGUCUAGAACGUCGACAGUUCGGUCCCUAUCCGUCGCGGGCGUUGAAAUUUGAGGAGCUGUCCCAGUAAUGAGAGGACGGGAUGGACUUACCGCUGGUGUACCAGUUGUUCUGCUGGCGCAUUGCUGCAGCUAUGUAGGAAGGGAUAAACGCUGAAAGCAUCUAUGUAGCUCUCCACUUCAAGAUGAGAUUUCCAUCUCUUUAAGAAAGUAAGAUCCCUGAGAGAUGAUCAGGUAGAUAGGUCAGGAGAAGCAGUGAUGUAUGGAGCGGACUGAUACUAAUCGAUCGAGGACUUAAAUCCAUA